GACUGUAGGCUGCAACUCGCCUACACGAAGUUGGAAUUGCUAGUAAUCGUGGAUCAGCAUGCCACGGUGAAUACGUUCCCGGGUCUUGUACACACCGCCCGUCACACCAUGGGAGCUGGUAACACCCGAAGUCAGUAGUCUAACCGCAAGGAGGACGCUGCCGAAGGUGGGAUUAGCGACUGGGGUGAAGUCGUAACAAGGUAGC
Molecule: ribosomal RNA, 205 nt
Filed under: uncultured bacterium
Lineage: Bacteria
Description: partial 16S ribosomal RNA
Rfam family: Bacterial small subunit ribosomal RNA
Source: RNAcentral